GCCCGCGUGGCGGAAUUGGUAGACGCUGCGGACUUAAAAUCCGUUGCCCUUUGGGCAUGUCGGUUCGACCCCGACCGUGGGUACCA
Molecule: transfer RNA, 86 nt
Filed under: Magnetococcales bacterium
Lineage: Bacteria; Pseudomonadati; Pseudomonadota; Magnetococcia; Magnetococcales
Description: tRNA-Leu
Rfam family: tRNA
About the family: Transfer RNA (tRNA) molecules are approximately 80 nucleotides in length. Their secondary structure includes four short double-helical elements and three loops (D, anti-codon, and T loops).
Source: RNAcentral